AGUGAACGCUGGCGGUAGGCCUAACACAUGCAAGUCGAACGGCAGCACAGGAGAGCUUGCUCUCUAGGUGGCGAGUGGCGGACGGGUGAGGAAUACAUCGGAAUCUGCCCAGUCGUGGGGGAUAACGUAGGGAAACUUACGCUAAUACCGCAUACGACCUUCGGGUGAAAGAGGGGGAUCGCAAGACCUCUCGCGAUUGGAUGAGCCGAUGUCGGAUUAGCUAGUUAGCGGGGUAAUGGCCCACCAAGGCGACGAUCCGUAGCUGGUCUGAGAGGAUGAUCAGCCACACUGGAACUGAGACACGGUCCAGACUCCUACGGGAGGCAGCAGUGGGGAAUAUUGGACAAUGGGCGCAAGCCUGAUCCAGCCAUACCGCGUGGGUGAAGAAGGUCUUCGGGUUGUAAAGCCCUUUUGUUGGGAAAGAAAUCUUUCAGGCUAAUACCCUGGGAGGAUGACGGUACCCAAAGAAUAAGCACCGGCUAACUUCGUG
RNAcentral lists this ribosomal RNA (490 nucleotides) under uncultured bacterium. RNAcentral's name for it is "partial 16S ribosomal RNA". It matches the Rfam family "Bacterial small subunit ribosomal RNA", at positions 29 to 507 of the family's 1533-position model. The record is from RNAcentral.